UGGCGAACGGGUGAGUAACGCGUGAGCAAUCUGCCUCUUUGUGGGGGGAUAACGCACCGAAAGGUAGUGCUAAUACCGCAUAAAACUAUUACGGCAUCGUAAGUAGAUGAAAGGAGCAAUUCGCAGAGAGAUGAGCUCGCGUCCAAUUAGCUAGUUGGUGAGAUAACAGCCCACCAAGGCGACGAUUGGUAGCCGGACUGAGAGGUUGAACGGCCACAUUGGGACUGAGACACGGCCCAGACUCCUACGGGGAGGCAGCAGUGGGGAAUAUUGCGCAAUGGGGGAAACCCUGACGCAGCAACGCCGCGUGAAGGAAGAAGGUCUUCGGAUUGUAAACUUUUGUCUUCAGGGAAGAUAAUGACGGUACCUGAGGAGGAAGCCACGACUAACUACGUGCCAGCCGCCGC
RNAcentral lists this ribosomal RNA (407 nucleotides) under uncultured bacterium. Its description in RNAcentral is "bacterial SSU rRNA". It matches the Rfam family "Bacterial small subunit ribosomal RNA", at positions 96 to 518 of the family's 1533-position model. The record is from RNAcentral.